UAACCUGCCCAAGAGAUCGGGAUAACACCUGGAAACAGAUGCUAAUACCGGAUAACAACAGAUGAUGCCUAUCAACUGUUUAAAAGAUGGUUCUGCUAUCACUCUUGGAUGGACCUGCGGUGCAUUAGCAGUUGGUAGGGUAACGGCCUACCAAGGCGAUGAUGCAUAGCCGAGUUGAGAGACUGAUCGGCCACAUUGGGACUGAGACACGGCCCAAACUCCUACGGGAGGCAGCAGAG
RNAcentral lists this ribosomal RNA (239 nucleotides) under uncultured Lactobacillus sp. Its description in RNAcentral is "partial 16S ribosomal RNA". It matches the Rfam family "Bacterial small subunit ribosomal RNA", at positions 122 to 354 of the family's 1533-position model. The record is from RNAcentral. Lineage: Bacteria; Bacillati; Bacillota; Bacilli; Lactobacillales; Lactobacillaceae.